Molecule: ribosomal RNA, 487 nt
Filed under: uncultured bacterium
Lineage: Bacteria
Description: partial 16S ribosomal RNA
Rfam family: Bacterial small subunit ribosomal RNA
Source: RNAcentral
GACGAACGCUGGCGGCGUGCUUAACACAUGCAAGUCGAACGGAAAGGCCCCCAUCUUGGUGGGGGUGCUCGAGUGGCGAACGGGUGAGUAACACGUGGGUGAUCUGCCCUGUACUUCGGGAUAAGCUUGGGAAACUGGGUCUAAUACCGGAUAGGACCAUGGUUUAGUGUCUCAUGGUGGAAAGAUUAUUGUUUUGGUGCAGGAUGCGCUCGCGGCCUAUCAGCUUGUUGGUGGGGUAAUGGCCUACCAAGGCGUCGACGGGUAGCCGGCCUGAGAGGGUGGACGGCGACAUUGGGACUGAGAUACGGCCCAGACUCCUACGGGAGGCAGCAGUGGGGAAUAUUGCACAAUGGGCGCAAGCCUGAUGCAGCGACGCCGCGUGGGGGAUGACGGCCUUCGGGUUGUAAACUCCUUUCGGUAGGGACGAAGCCACGCUUUUGGGGUGUGGUGACGGUACCUUUGUGAAGAAGCACCGGCUAACUACGUG